AUACGUAGGUGACAAGCGUUAUCCGGAUUUACUGGGCGUAAAGGGCGUGUAGGCGGUCUUGCAAGUCAGAAGUGAAAUUCCUGAGCUCAACUCGGGCGCUGCUUCUGAAACUGCAGGACUUGAGUGCUGGAGGGGAUAGCGGAAUUCCUAGUGGAGCGGUAAAAUGCGCAGAGAUUAGGAAGAACACCGGUGGCGAAGGCGACUAUCUGGACAAUAACUGACUCUGAGGCACGAUGUCGUGAGGAGAAAACAUGAUUAAAUCCCCUGGUAGUCCACGCCGUAAACGAUGAAUACUAGGUGUAGGGGGUAUCGACUCCCUCUGUGCCGCAGUUAACACAAUAAGUAUUCCGCCUGGGGAGUACGGCCGCAAGGUUGAAACUCAAAUGAAUUGACGGGG
RNAcentral lists this ribosomal RNA (397 nucleotides) under uncultured bacterium. RNAcentral describes it as "partial 16S ribosomal RNA". It matches the Rfam family "Bacterial small subunit ribosomal RNA", at positions 523 to 918 of the family's 1533-position model. The record is from RNAcentral.